This is an RNA transcript of Ornithodoros turicata, 666 nucleotides long. RefSeq lists it as uncharacterized. NCBI's taxonomy places the organism in Eukaryota, Metazoa, Arthropoda, Arachnida, Ixodida, Argasidae. The record is from RefSeq and is a predicted model, not a curated record. The transcript is spliced from 5 exons.
CGCACACAGGGCAGAUUCGGCGGCUGAAAGCUUCAGCGCGGUUCUAGUAGUGGCAGAGUGGCUUCGAGUGUUUACUUUUCACUUCGAGCUAUUUGAAAUGAGUGCACCAGCAUUGUACAGGACAACAAAACAAUUUUGUGAAGAACCCAGAACAGGACCUGAAGGAGCAAGACACAGGCCGCAUGCUCGAGUGAGAGAAACAGGGAUUCAUCUACGGAAAAUAGAAAAAGAAGUCCACGCAAUAUUUCGUCGGGAACUUCUCACCGGCACCUCUUCUGUCUGAACGUAGCUGACCCUCUGACAAACGGAGUGACAGCUGGGAUGUGUGACGUUAAAGGGGAACCUCGCGAGGAAUCUUCAAAGGAACAUGCAAUAGUGGAAGUCAAAACAGAGCCUUAUAACGUUGCAAUCUUCACUGGACAGGACCAAAUGGGACGCAAGUGUGAUUCAACAUCAGAAGGAGUGACAGCUGGGACGUGUCCUAUUAAGGAAGAACCUCGAGAGGAAUCUUCAAAUGAAGAUCCAAUCAUAGAAGUGAAAACAGAGGCUUACAAUGUUCCAGUCUUGGCAGAAGAGGAACAGAUGGGCUGUGACCCAACAUCAGAAGGUAAAUACAAAAUGGUCGAGGGGAUUUGGUCAACACCAGAUUGAAUGGCACGAUAUGGA